CUGAGCCAUCUCUCCAGUCCCAGAUAACAGAUUUUAAGUUACAUGGGGAAGUUCUCUCAGUGAGACCUUCAUUCAGGAGGUAUUCUGUGGUACUAAAUCAGGUGAUCUUUUAUUCAUGUUGUACAUAGGGACUUCAUCUGCAACAUCCUCACCAUUAAAAAAAGAACAGCCCUUAUUUACUCUAAGGCAGGUUGGGAUGAUCUGUGAACGUUUGUUGAAAGAACGGGAAGAGAAGGUUCGAGAAGAAUAUGAAGAAAUACUGAACACAAAACUUGCAGAACAAUACGAUGCAUUUGUGAAGUUUACGCAUGAUCAGAUAAUGCGGCGAUAUGGAGAACAGCCUGCUAGUUAUGUUUCAUGAAUCACGCUUUUUGCAUUUGUGGGCUGCCUUGUUCCUUGUUGAGUUGUUGCAGGAGGUCCCAGCUGUGACAUACAGCAAUGCCAGCGCCCAUCUGUGAACCAGGUUACUUCAAGCUUUCGUCAGUGGCAACCACUCUUAGGCAGCAGCAAUUGGUUUUGGAAAUUUCCGUGAUGUCAUUACCACCCGGAUGUGGACCUUUGCUACUUGUAUUAAUACCAGUGGCCUCGUUUUGCUGUAUCAUUACAAUUUGGCUUCUUUAUAUUAAUGUUUGAAAGGGAUUAAAGCUGGCAUUCUAGAACAUGCCCUUCACUGGUUAUGUAAAUAAAACUGUAGAAUGACACGUCAGAUGAAGUUAGUGUGAUUUUAAUUGUGCACUACAACCAAGCUGUAACCAGUUAUUAAUAACUUAGAAUGUAAUCCCAGGACAUUUAAGCAGUUAGUCUACAGUACUUCAGUGAGAUGGAGGAAGAGGAGGAGGAGGGCAUUUCUGUAUUUCAGGACUUUUCUUGGGGUUUCAGAAUGGGUUUAUAUGAUUUCCUUUAUUAUUUUUUGGUAGUUUUAUUUAUUCUAUCAGUCUUUUUAACAAAUGUUUAUUGCUGCACCCCUCCCCCAGUGUAUUAUUGUUUUACUGCCCUUGUAGCACUGGAGUUUAGUUGGAAAAAUAAAACAUUUACUUCUAUUCUGCCUGUUUUCAAAUUGUACACAUGGGUAGUAUUGGAAUAAAGUAGUGUUUUUAAACGUAAGGAUUUUCUAGAAAUCAAUGAAGUUAAUUUCUGGUAGUAUUUGCCUUUUAAAUGCUGUUGUCAGAAAUUAAGUUCUGAUUCAGAACUGCUUCUGUAACUUGCUGUAUAACAGCAUAACAAGUUCUAAAACAGCUGUACAACUUCACCUUUGAAGCCAGUUUUGAUGGUUUGAAUGAUGUGAUAUUUGAAAGCACGGUUGUUCUGGUUGAUGUGAUAAAGUAACUGCAAAAAGCAGUUUAGGGUAUUAAGUGUUUAUUUUAACUCAAAAUUCCACAUUGCAGUCUAUCACUGUGGGGAAAUCAACAGGAACUUGAAGCCACAAGUAAGAGCAGAGAGAGAAGCAAUAAAUGCAUACUACUGAGUUUAGUGGAUAGCUCCACUCAUUUUCUGGUUGGCUGUCUUCCUAAUUGGUUAAGGCAGUUCAGUCACCCACAGACACACCCACAGGCUAACCUGAUCUAGAUGAGCCUUCUUGGAAUUUAGGAAGUCAUAGGUACUGCUGAGAUGACAGAACUAACAUAAGGGCUGGAGAGAGGCUCAGUAGUUAAGAGCUCUGCUUUUUCAGAAGACCCUGGUUUGGUUCCCAGAACCUACAACAGCUCACCAACUAAUGCUUUUUUCUGAGCUCUGCGGUCUCCAGGAUACACAUAGUACACACAUAUAUACUCGGGCAAGCACACAUACAUAAAACAUUAAAUAAUAUUUUCAAAACACUACCAUCACAGUGAAUGAAUUAAAUGUAACGCACUUAGCACAAAUGGUUUCCCAACAAGGCCUUUUUUACAAAGUAGUGAGAAAACUGAAAGUGCUAGUCACACACUUGUAACCUUGAUGUCAGGAUUAGGGGUUAAAGGCCACCCCCUCAUUACUGCUCCAUGAAUCCUUUUGAG
RNAcentral lists this long non-coding RNA (1994 nucleotides) under Rattus norvegicus (Norway rat). Its description in RNAcentral is "long non-coding RNA NONRATT022175". The record is from RNAcentral. Lineage: Eukaryota; Metazoa; Chordata; Mammalia; Rodentia; Muridae.